This 8617-nucleotide long non-coding RNA is filed under the name Ananas comosus (pineapple). RNAcentral describes it as "long non-coding RNA (ACOM_LNC039033)". The record is from RNAcentral. Lineage: Eukaryota; Viridiplantae; Streptophyta; Magnoliopsida; Poales; Bromeliaceae.
AUAUAUAUAUAUAUAUAUAUAUAGAGCUAGGCUACUAUACUAUCUAUAGUACCGAGCUCCGGUACUAUAGUGUUGAUUUUCGAUCUUAGGGCGUUCAAAUCAACGAUCCACACCGUUAAAACUGAUCUAGGGUAUUUAAAGUUUCUAGAAAUAAAAUUUUAUAUUUUUUCGACAUAGUUUACUUUAUGAUCAAACUAUUUUAAAAUUUUCAAUUUUCAAUGGCUAUUAUGACAAGUUUGGAGUUUAACGGUGUAGAAGAAUCUAAAUUUCUUCAAAUUUUGAUAGAAAAUACUUUAAACUGUAUAGAUUAAGGUUAACAUUCUUGAUCUUAAAUUUAAAAGUCCUAUGCUCAAAUUUUAAAGAUUAUUCAAUUUUCACCGUCCAUUUUGAUAUAAUUUAUUUACUAAGUAAACGAUAUCGAAAAAAACUAAAAUUUUAUACCUAAGAAAUUCAUAUACCCUAGAUCAUAUUUAACGGUGUGGAUCGUUGAUUUGAACGCCCUAAGAUCGAAAACCAACACUAUAGUACCGGAGCUCGGUACUAUAGAUAGUAUAGUAGCCUAAUUCUAUAUAUAUAUAUAUAUAAUUUUAUUUUUAUAUUUAUAAGAAUUAUAAUUAUUUAUGUUAAUAGUAUAAAUCUAAAAUAAAAUUUUAAUUUCACAGAUGAAUUUUUGCUCCGAAUUUUUAAAUAAUAAACAUAAAAUUCUCGUUUAAAUCGCGUAUACGAAUGAUUGACGAAUCCGAUUUUUAAACCGUAUUUUUUAACGAAUUUAAAAAUUAAAAUACAAAUUUUAUUCGUAUUUUAUCCGUACCGAAUUUUUACCGUAUCCGAAUUAACUACCUAUGUUCUUGCUUGCUUGCGAUCCAUAUGUAUAUUAUAAAUUAUACUUAGCAUUGUGUUAUGUUAUAAUGUUGAGUUUUAUGUAAUUGUAAAAUUUAUAGUAGAUUUAAUCUGUCACGCCUCGGAUUACACGUUCCCCGGGCACGCCGACAAAUCCGCCGUAUACAAAGAAAUUUUUUCUGUAUACGAAGCGACAGCUGUACCUGUAAAUCAAACACCACUACGAACAGUAGUAGAGAGCUGCUAGAGAAAACAGAAGCUAAACAAACAGAGUUUCAUAUACAUAGUUCAGAUCCAAAAUACAGAGCUACUCGCACUGGCGAGUUAAGUCAACUAUGUACAUAAACUCGAAACAAAACAUCUACCUACAGUAGGGCACCUCUAGCUCAGCACGUCGGGUAGGGUUCUAACUCGCGACGCUCUUGCCUCGAUCCUUGUCCGCAGACGGUGCAGCAGCCGGAACCUGUGGCUCUGCAAAAACAUAGGUAACAACUGGACGUGAGAACUACUGUAAAAACAAGUAGUCCUCAGUGGGUACCGCCCAAAACAACAUCGGUCACCCACUAAGUCUACAAAAGGGAGCAAGAAUAGUAGGAAAAGCAGGAAGUACACUCCACUGCUAUCAAUCACUACACUAUCAUGCUCUACACUAACCAACUGUAGGACAUGUCAAAUCUGACCCAAUCCAAUCGGGACUGUAAGCAUACCCGUCCCCGGGACUGUGAAUACACCCGUCCCUGUCCCGUUGCGACUAUCAAGCUCUAUCCACACUAACUGGUCCGUGGAGAGCAAGUCCAACUGGCAUGAGCGACACCAACGCGAAAGCACAAAGCCUGACUCCGGAGUGGCACUCGUGGGCUCUACCCAACCGAGUAUGCAGCAUAUCUCUGUCGAGCUCAAACAGGCUCUAAAAAGCCAAAGUCAAGAAAUCGACUCUAACUGGUCUAACAACCAACAAGUAACGUGCCCUCGGCACAAUCAGACGCCAAAAAGGCGAUACGGGUCCACCGUCAACCUCAACGGCCACCCCCUACAGUCCGGAACAGCCUGAACGACCCUGUAUAAAUCCACUCGGUGAACCAGCACGAGCGUAAAUAUAUUCUAAACUACCUGGAGUACUCGUCUCGAAGAUACUGCGACAGUACAAUUUAAUCACGGCUCCUAGAGCUAAAUCAGGCAGUUUAAUCAAGUGGCAGGUCCAAAUCGCAAGUUUUCUCCUAAUUAAAUUUUCAUGUCCAACAUAUAUAAUCUACUUAAUUUAUUACCACAUGCUCCAAAUUCAGAUUUGCAAUCUACCAUUUAAUCCAUGAAUUCGAACUAGAAUAGAAUAUCCAAAGGUCGAUAAUUAUACAUGCCGACGAAUAUGAACUUAGGAGUAGAAACCGAUGUAACCUACCUCAAACGCUAAUCUCUGGCAGCGAAGGACUCCCACUGGUGAAGAGCAACCUGCUGGAUUACCCGGAACCCGCCGAGUACAGAAAUCGCCUAAUCUCAAGCUCUAUGUAACAAAAUUCACCAAUUCAGUCCAGAAAUUGCAGCAGUGAGGUACAAAAGGGAUUCGACCAAGCUAACCUUCCCCAAAAUUCACAAGUAAGGGUUUCAUGGAUUCCUCUCGCAGUCCCGAAUCCAACGAACCAAGCCUCGUCGAAAUCCGAUGCUCCUACGUCGAGAACGAGCUGAAAUACUAACAGUCAACGAAGAAAUUCAGCAAACAACAUCUCUCCGAGUUGAAGUAGUAAGAACUUGUCCAAAAUUCAAGGAAAUGCUGAAUUACUCACCUCGACAGCGACUAGUACCGGCGCGACGUCGAGAACAGCGAAGUCGCACGCUCGCCCGGUCUCCUCGCAAGGCCCCGGCGUCAAAUACAUGCUCGAACGAUCCCGCGGCGCGACGUCGGCGACAGAAACUAUACCCAAGCUUCUUCCCUACCUUCAACCGCAUAAGAGUGAGAGAGAGAUGGUGAAGAGCAACAGGAAGCCCUCUCUCUCUCUCUACACGAAGCUAUAUAGAGAGAGGGAGAGCUGCUGAUACAAACGAGGUGGAAAUUUACUCAAAUACCCUCUCACCUACCCCCUUGUACCGGUACACGGGCUCUUGUACCGGUACAAGAGCCAACCCGAGAGCUGCUAAGCCUCUGCGCGAUGGUUGUACUGGUACAGCCACUCUGCUUGUACCGGUACAGCAAGCAGAAAAUGCUGCUGUUUCGCAGAAUUCAUCGCGAUAAGCUGCCCUCUCUUUGCACGGAGUCCAUUUUACGUCUAUUUGACGCCAACGCGACUCGGACUUGUCCCGACACUCUCCAGAGCUGUCGACAAGCCUCCACAACAGAACACCAGGGACUCACAUCCUCCCCCUCUACAAAAGGUUUCGUCCGCGAAACUAAAACAUACCUCUGCUCAGGCAUCAAACAGGUAGGGGUAAGCUUCCCUCAUCACCGUCUCAGGCUCCCAAGUUGCCUCCCGCUCCUCGUGAUGACUCCACUGCACUUUCACAUACGGGAUGACCCGGUUGCGCAAUUCUUUCGUCUCUCGAGCAAGAAUCCGCAAUGGUCGCUCCUCGUAUCUCAGAUCCUCGCUAAUCUCGAGUGGAGCAAAGUCAAUCACGUGAGAGGGGUCGAAAACGUAUCUCCUCAGCGCUGAGACAUGGAAAACAUUAUGGAUGCCAGCAAGUCGCGGGGGUAGAGCUAUCUUGUAAGCCACCGGUCCGAUAUGCUCCAAUACCUCGAAAGGGCCAACAAAUCGUGGACUAAGCUUUUCACGUACUCCAAAAUGGCGUAUCCCUCUGGACGGCGAGACUUUGAGAAAAACAUGAUCUCCAACCUGAAACUCUAAGUCUCGUCUCCUGGUAUCGGCAUAGCUCCUCUGUCGGUUCUGUGCUGUCAAAAGGUGUCGUCGAACGACUCUCACCUUUUCCUCAGCCUCCAGUAAAAUCUCCGGCCCCAAUGUCUUCCGCUCACCCACAUCACUCCAGAACAGGGGGGAUCGAUAUCUGCGUCCAUACAACACCUCAAACGGAGCCAUCUGAAUGCUCGUUUGAUAGUUGUUGUUGUACGCAAACUCAACCAGUCUCACAUGUCGAUACCACCCUCCUCCAAAAUCCAGGACGCAUGCCCUCAGCAUGUCCUCUAGAGUCUGUAUGGUCCGCUCUGACUGACCAUCUGUCUGUGGGUGGAACGCCGUGCUAAAAUGCAACUGUGUACCCAAGGCUGUCUGCAAACUCCUCCAGAAAUGUGAUACAAACCUCGGGUCUCUGUCUGAUAUAAUCGACACUGGCACGCCGUGCAGCCUAACCAUCUCAUCCAAGUAUAGCUGCGCGAGUCUCUCUCUGGACCAAAUAGUCUAAACCGGUAGGAAGUGAGCAGACUUGGUCAGUCUGUCCACUAUCACCCAAAUCGCGUCGUAGCCACCCUAUGCUCUAGGCAAUCCAACGACGAAGUCCAUUGUGAUGAACUCCCACUUCCACUCGGGCACUGGCAGACUCUGAAGCUUGCCAGCAGGCACCUGAUGCUCGGCCUUCACCUGUUGGCAAAUCAAACAUUGAGCGACAAAUCUGCCAAUGUCUCUCUUCAUUCCAGGCCACCAGAAUCGUGCCUUAAGAUCCUUAUACAUCUUGGUUCCCCCAGAGUGAACCGUAUAAGGGGAACAAUGAGCCUCUCUCAAAAUAUCCGCUCGAAUCUCAGGAUCCACAGGCACACACAGUCGGUCCCUAUACCUAAGUACUCCCGCACUGUCCAAAGCAAAUCCCUCAGCCUGCCCCCUGUCUAGCUGCUCUCUAAUCCUCAACAAAUACGGAUCUCCACUCUGUUUCUCGCGGAUCCCAUCCAACAGAGAGGGCUGCAACACAAGAGAUGUCAGCCUCGCCGUAGACCCAGGGGGUACUAUCUCGAGUCCCAGCCGCUGUAGCUCCUCGAGUAGGUGUCUCUGCUCAGUCAUCCUCAAACUCAGGCCCUGCACUGAUUUCCUGCUCAACGCAUCUGCCACCACAUUCGCCCUGCCGGGAUGAUACUGAAUACUAAUGUCAUAGUCCUUCAGUAACUCCAACCACCGGCGCUGCCUCAGGUUCAGCUCCCUCUGUGUGAACAGAUACUUGAGACUUUUAUGAUCGGUAAAGAUCUCGCAAUACUCGCCCUACAAGUAAUACCGCCAGAGCUUCAAAGCAAAUACCACCGCGGCAAGCUCCAAGUCAUGCGUAGGGUAAUUCUUCUCAUAAUCCUUUAAUUGCCGUGAAGUAUAAGCAAUCACCCUACCAUGCUGCAUCAGCACGCAACCAAGUCCACUGUGCGAUACAUCACUGUAGAUCACAAAUCCUUCCCCCAUCACCGGAAAGGCAAGGAUAGGAGCCGACGUCAACCUCAGUCUCAACUCGUCAAAGCUCCUCUGACAGUCGUCGCUCCAGACAAAACGAAUCCCCUUCCGCGUCAAGCGUGUGAGGGGUGUGGAAAGCUUCGCAAAGCCUUCCACAAACCGACGGUAAUAUCCUGCCAGUCCCAGGAAGCUCCGUACCUCAGUCACCGUCGUCGGUCUAGGCCAAUCUCGAAUCGCCUCAAUCUUCUUCGGGUCCACUGCUACGCCCUCGGCUGAAAUCACGUGGCCCAAGAAAGCAACCUCCCGUAGCCAGAACUCGCACUUCUUUAACUUGGCAUACAACUUCUUCUCUCGCAGAAGCUGUAGCACAAUCCUCAAGUGCUCCUCAUGCUCAGCAUCACUCCGGGAGUAAAUCAAGAUAUCGUCGAUGAAGACUACCACAAACCUGUCCAAGAACGGCUUGAACACUCUGUUCAUCAAAUCCAUGAAUGCGGCAGGGGCAUUCGUCAAUCCAAAAGGCAUCACCGUGAACUCAUAAUGCCCGUACCGAGUCCGAAAAGCCGUCUUGGGAACAUCCUCGGCCCUCACCCUCAGCUGGUGGUAACCUGACUGGAGAUCAAUCUUCGAGAAAACAUAAGAUCCCUGCAGCUGAUCAAACAAAUCAUCAAUGCGCGGCAAGGGAUACUUAUUCUUGAUGGUCACUUUAUUCAGCUCCCGGUAAUCCACACAUAACCUGAGUGAACCAUCAUUCUUCUUUACAAAUAGUACUGGUGCUCCCCAAGGCGAUACACUGGGUCUCACAAACCCUCUAUCCAUCAAAUCCUGAAGCUGUGCCUUUAGCUCUCCCAGCUCUGCCGGCGCCAUCCGAUAAGGUACUUUUGAGAUUGGUGCAGUUCCAGGGACUACAUCAAUCACAAACUCAAUCUCCCUCUCCGGCGGCAACGUCGUCAACUCAGGGGGAAACACAUCCGGAAACUCGCGGACUACUGGGAUGUCCUCCAGUCUCGGCGCCGUCGUAGGUACCUCCACAACAGUCGCUAGGAAAGCGACACAUCCACUACUCAGCAUCUGUCGAGCCCUCGCCGAAGAUAUCCAGGUGGCAAACAACGUGCUCCUGCAGCCUCUGUAAGUGAACUCCUCCUGGCCUGGCUCACGGAACGUCACUGUCCUCGCUCCGCAAUCAAUCGUAGCAUAGUACCGCGCCAGCCAAUCCAUACCGAGAACAACGUCGAAAUCCUGCAGCUGCCCUAGCACCAACAGGUCUGCGGGCAUGACCCACGAGUCCAACUGCACCGGACACGACCAACAACACUCUGCAACCUGUAAAACAUGGUCCGGGAUCUGCACCUCUCGUGCCUAUGACAAUGCCCCUAACUCUGGACCAUGCAACAAUGCAAAUGCUCGGCUAACAAAAGAAUGCGAGGCUCCAGUAUCAAAAAGAGUACGAGUACGAAUGCCGGAAAUCAAAGUGAUACCUGCCACCACUCGGUCGGCUACUGUAGAGUCCUCCACCUGUGCUGCAUAGACUCUGCCACUCGGAGCCUGCUGUCGUCGCUCACCCUGUCACGGCAUGGAUGAUCUAUCCUCCUGGCGGUAACUCGGUGCUGCUCUGAAUGACUGCUGAGGUGCUGGUGGAGCUGAAGCUGACAAUGGUGCUGGAUAUGCUGCUCGGGGACAAGCUGCCCUCAUGUGUCCCGGCUGACCACACCCGUAGCACCGGCCCUCCCUCUGCUCGCACUGUCUGGGCCAGUGUGGUCCUCCGCAGAUCACACACUGCGGCGUCCUCUCUGGUUGUCCCCUCUGACGAGCGUCCCUGGGUCGCUGACGCCCCGAGAACCCACGACCCUGUGAAUGCGAUCGUGGAGGCCUCGGUGGACGCCUGCUACUCGACUGACCUCCGUCGUCUGGAGCUGGGCGUUUCCUGUCCUGACUCUGUCCCGGCCCCUGAGCCCUCUCCCGCAAUGACACCUCUCCUCUCUCCUCCCAUAGUGCAUGCUCAAUGGACGCAUCUAAAGUCCUCGACCUCUGCGCCUUAACAAACCUGAAAAGAUCGGGUCUCAAAUCCUGCUCAAACAAGUAGACCCUAUGUGCCUCGUCUCUGGCAACGAACGGAACACAGUUCAGGAGCCUAGUAAACUCCCGAACAUACUCCUGAACUGUCCGCUCACCCUGCUGGAUCCUCUUCAAGUCCUCCUCGAUCUUCUGUUUCAUGCUGUUGGGAAAAUACAUCCCAUACAGCAUUCCACAGAACUCAUCCCAACUCAGCUGCGCCGCCACCAGUCCCUGAUCUCGCCUCGCUCUCCUCUACCAGUCACGUGCAUCACCUGACAAACAGUGUACUCCCAGUGGUACCUGCUCCCCCUCCGGAACGAACAGAUCCUCAAAUAACCUCUCCAUCGCACUGACUCAUCCCUCAACAACCCAGGCCUCAGUGCCGCUACCAUCGAAGAUCGGUGGGUCAAAUCGCCGAAAACGAGCUAACCUCUCCGUCCACCGCUCCUGCUCGGCCUUAGUCAACAGUACUGGCCCCCUAACCGGCGCAACUGACGCUACUGGAACUGCUGCCGACGGAGGAACUGCUGCAGCUGGUACGGUCACUGGAGUAGUCGGUGGUAGAACAGUCUGCUCUGGUACACUCGGUGCUGAACUCAGUAACUGAGAUAUCCUCUCACACAACCUCUGCAACAACUCCCCCUGCUGCCUCGUCACCUCAGUCAGGGCAGCCAGCUGUGCACUCAGAUCCGGGGGUGCCUCAGGUCGCGCACUCGGCUCCACAACAGGGGAUGCACUCGCCUCCGGUCUGUCACCCUGCUCCUGUCGAGUACUCUGCUCCAUCUGCUCAGGUCUCUCAGGGGAUCCCGCACGAUCCCGUGCCAACUGGGCACGCUCUCGCAACGACGAUCGACCUCGGCGACGAUACAUAGCUGAAAGGAACAAAUCGGGGUCAGAUACAACGCAACACUCUCGACCCAAUCAACGAAAGUCUGGAAGGCGGUCCCUGUUGUCCUCCCAAAAUUAUGUCGUCUGCAGCCAACAUAAUUUUUCAGCCAAAACAGAAACUCCCUCAGUCACUCACUCCACUCCAGGAGGAGUUAAAACAAAUAAUCAUUGACUUUCGCAAUAAAUUACGCCUCUCGCGUUUUGCUUUCCUAAGGUUUGCCAAACUUAGGGUUCCUAGGUCCCAACGACCUGUAGUAGAGCUCUGAUACCAACUUAAUCUGUCACGCCCCGGAUUACACGUUUCCCGGGCACGCCGACAAAUCCGCCGUAUACAAAGAAAUUUUCCCUGUAUACGAAGCGACAGCUGUACCUGUAAAUCAAACACUACUACGAACAGUAGUAGAGAGCUGCUAGAGAAAACAGAAGCUAAACAAACAGAGUUUCAUAUACAUAGUUCCGAUCCAAAAUACAGAGCUACUCGCACUGGCGAGUUAAGUCAACUAUGUACAUAAACUCGAAACAAAACAUCUACC